This 270-nucleotide long non-coding RNA is filed under the name Mytilus galloprovincialis (Mediterranean mussel). Lineage: Eukaryota; Metazoa; Mollusca; Bivalvia; Mytilida; Mytilidae. The record is from RNAcentral.
CGGGGAUAUAAAUUUGGUCGCUUAGAUCUUCUACCGACCAUCAAUUAUUGGCCAAGGUGGGACGUCCGUUUGGUUGUGUGGGAUGUGAAAGUACACAGCCAAGUUCAGAAUAUGAUACAACGUUAAGCAACCAACAACCAAUCAUCAACAUUAGAAGAAAAUAACUUAAAUGUGCAUUGCAUCAAUGUGAAUGAUAAUUAAACACGCCGAUUUGUUAUUGAUAAGUAUAUACCAGAAGGCACCAUUUAGCUGCAACUUAAAGCAAUAUAC